Molecule: transfer RNA, 73 nt
Filed under: Candidatus Dojkabacteria bacterium
Lineage: Bacteria
Description: tRNA-Glu
Rfam family: tRNA
About the family: Transfer RNA (tRNA) molecules are approximately 80 nucleotides in length. Their secondary structure includes four short double-helical elements and three loops (D, anti-codon, and T loops).
Source: RNAcentral
GGCCCCUUCGUCUAGCGGUCUAGGACAUCGCUUUCUCAAGGCGGAAACACGGGUUCGAGUCCCGUAGGGGUCA